RNAcentral lists this transfer RNA (61 nucleotides) under human gut metagenome. It matches the Rfam family "tRNA", at positions 8 to 63 of the family's 71-position model. From Rfam's summary of the family: Transfer RNA (tRNA) molecules are approximately 80 nucleotides in length. Their secondary structure includes four short double-helical elements and three loops (D, anti-codon, and T loops). The record is from RNAcentral.
UGUUAGCUCAGUUGGUAGAGCAAUUGACUCUUAAUCAAUGGGUCCAGGGUUCGAGUCCCUG